This 169-nucleotide ribosomal RNA is filed under the name Elagatis bipinnulata (rainbow runner). RNAcentral describes it as "partial 12S ribosomal RNA". The record is from RNAcentral. Lineage: Eukaryota; Metazoa; Chordata; Actinopteri; Carangiformes; Carangidae.
CACCGCGGUUAUACGAGAGGCUCAAGUUGACAGACAACGGCGUAAAGAGUGGUUAAGGAAAAUACCAAACUAAAGUCGAACAUCCUCAGAGCUGUUAUACGCUUCCGAAGAUAUGAAGUUCAACCACGAAAGUGACUUUACUACCCCUGAACCCACGAAAGCUAAGAAA